Molecule: long non-coding RNA, 826 nt
Filed under: Salvia miltiorrhiza (redroot sage)
Lineage: Eukaryota; Viridiplantae; Streptophyta; Magnoliopsida; Lamiales; Lamiaceae
Description: long non-coding RNA (SMIL_LNC010105)
Source: RNAcentral
CCGUUAAUAAUGUCACGUUUCUUUUCGGCACGGAUAUUAAGGAGAGUGAUAUUAGAAGAAAAGUGAUAUGGUCCCACAUGUUUAAUUGAAUCUUAAAUAUGAUAAAGGAGGCCUUUGGUCCUCCAUAUAUCUGUUGCCACCGUCGCCGGCCAGACCGCCGCCGUCCCUUCACCUUAUUUGUGCCUUUCUUGAACUAGCAACUAACAAAGAAAAUCAAGAAAUUCACUACAUUCAAGAAAUUUAAGAAAUUGAUCAGGGUGAAUUGAACAAAACAUCAACAUUAUUAACUGAACAAAAUAUCAACAUUAUCCCAUGAAUCGCUUCUCCACCGCCAAUUCUGGCCUUAUCGUCGCCGGAAUUUAUGAGCAGUUGCUGCUCGUUUUCGCCACCGAAAACGCCGCUCUUGUAGUCGGAGGGGUAUUGGUCUUCAACGGAAUUGAAAAGGUCUAAUUUCCAUAGCUACCCUCACCUCACCAGAUCUGGAGAAUUAGAGAAAGAAUUAAAGGAAGGGGUUUAGGGAUCUAAGGUUUGGGGGAACGAAGCGGUGGAAACUUAAUACUGUUGUUGGCUGGAGAAUUAGAGGUGGGAGGGCGGCGGCGACGAGGAUAGCGUGAGGUGGUGGCGCGACGGGUGGAGGUGGGAGCGCGAGGCGGCAGCGCGAGGGGAGGCCAGAGGAAGGAGAAGGCUUUCUCCAACGACUGGCAGAGGGAAGUCAGCGGAGGAGGGUGGGUGGACGCGGAGGCGGUGCGCCGUCGCCGUGGAGGAGGAGAGGCUGCGAGGGUGUAGCAUGAGAGAGAGAGUAAUCGGAAGAGAGUUCAAGUGAGAG